GUUAUUAUUAUUUUUGCAUGUUCAUUUAUUUUCAUUGUAUAGAAAUUCACAUGUCUUUUACUUGAUAUGAUGAUUUUGGAAUAUGUUCCAUUCAUAAUGGGAUUUGCAAUUUGUACGACUUGUAUAUUUCAAUAUGCAACUGUCCACAAAUCAAGUUGUUCAUUUUAUGAAUCUCCAUUUAAAUGAGAAAUAUUUAAUUACAAUAUUGCUAGACAUAUAUAGGUGUUAAACAUGAGUACUAGACGCAGGGUUAAACAAUCUGUAGGCCCUAUGACUGAUAGCAGCAGCCAGCCUCAGCUGCCCCAAACUAAUGUUGGUCAUGCCUAGCCUCAGCUACCUCAGGCUACUAGUGAUUCAACGUCUAAGAAACCAAGGACUCGAGGCCCCACACGAUGCUUUGAUGUAUGGAAAAUGCGUGAAGGUCAACGGAUUUCUAUUUCCAUCAACGAUGUAGGGCAGCCCAUUUGUGACAAUGCUAGUAAGCUGACAAAUUUCAUAGGAACAAUAGCAUGCAAUGGAGAAUAUGCUCCCCUUACAUUUAAUGAUUAAAGGGCAGUGCCGAAUGCGAAGAAAGAUGAUAUGUGGGGGCUUGUCCUGUCAAAGUUUGAGUUUGAUGGUAAUGCUAAGGCUUAGGUGCUGAAGUCAAUUGGUAAAAAAUGGAGGGAAUGGAAGCGCAAGCUGAAGAAACUCCACUACUCUUCUCAUGAGACUGAUGAGGAGCGGCUCGCAGAUCUUGAUGAGCAGGUCCAAGAGGAUCAAUGGAAGACUCUCAUUCAAUUUUGGAGCUCUGAAGAGGGGAAGGCUCGUUCUAAAACAAAUAUAGAGAAUCGGAAGAAACAACUGAUUAACCACGUGGCAGGCGCGAAGAGUUUUGUGCGAAUACGUGAAGAAGAGGUAAAUUUUAUUAAUAACCUGACUAACCAUGUUAGUAUAUUUGUGUUAUAUAACUUGUUUACAUAAUAAUAGAGGAAAAAGGCCAAUGGGGAGGGUCUAAGCCGAGUAAAUAUGUUUAUAUUGACUCAUACAUGCA
Molecule: long non-coding RNA, 1030 nt
Organism: Magnolia sinica
Lineage: Eukaryota; Viridiplantae; Streptophyta; Magnoliopsida; Magnoliales; Magnoliaceae
Exons: 4
Source: RefSeq, a predicted model, not a curated record